RNAcentral lists this ribosomal RNA (418 nucleotides) under uncultured bacterium. Its description in RNAcentral is "bacterial SSU rRNA". It matches the Rfam family "Bacterial small subunit ribosomal RNA", at positions 358 to 774 of the family's 1533-position model. The record is from RNAcentral.
GGACUAUUGGUCAAUGGGCGAGAGCCUGAACCAGCCAAGUAGCGUGCAGGAUGACGGCCCUAUGGGUUGUAAACUGCUUUUAUGCGGGAAUAAAACGAGGGACGUGUCCUUCUUUGCAGGUACCGCAUGAAUAAGGACCGGCUAAUUCCGUGCCAGCAGCCGCGGUAAUACGGAAGGUCCGGGCGUUAUCCGGAUUUAUUGGGUUUAAAGGGAGCGCAGGCGGCACUUCAAGCGUGACGUUAAAUUUCGGGGCUCACCCCCGUUUUGCGUCGCGAACUGUUGUGCUUGAGUAGGCGGCAGGGAGGCGGAAUUCGCGGUGUAGCGGUGAAAUGCUUAGAUAUCGCGAGGAACUCCGAUAGCGCAGGCAGCCUCCCGUUGCUUUACUGACGCUCAUGCUCGAAGGUGCGGGUAUCGAACA